UUGACCUCGGAUCAGGUAGGGAUACCCGCUGAACUAAGCAUAUCAUAG
This 48-nucleotide ribosomal RNA is filed under the name Parmelina tiliacea. RNAcentral's name for it is "partial 28S ribosomal RNA". The record is from RNAcentral. Lineage: Eukaryota; Fungi; Ascomycota; Lecanoromycetes; Lecanorales; Parmeliaceae.